RNAcentral lists this ribosomal RNA (762 nucleotides) under uncultured marine haptophyte. RNAcentral describes it as "bacterial SSU rRNA". It matches the Rfam family "Bacterial small subunit ribosomal RNA", at positions 541 to 1309 of the family's 1533-position model. Lineage: Eukaryota; Haptophyta. The record is from RNAcentral.
UUAUCCGGAUUUAUUGGGCGUAAAGCGCCUGUAGGUUGUUUAAUAAGUCUGUUGUUAAAGACUAGGGCUUAACCCUAGGAAAGCAACGGAAACUACUAGACUUGAGUAUGAUAGGGGUAGAGGGAAUUUCUAGUGUAGCGGUGAAAUGCGUAGAUAUUAGAAAGAACACCGGCGGCGAAGGCGCUCUACUGGAUCAUUACUGACACUCAGAGGCGAAAGCUAGGGUAGCAAAAGGGAUUAGAUACCCCUGUAGUCCUAGCCGUAAACGAUGGAUACUAUAUGUUGCGUUUUUAAUGCAGUGUGGUAGCUAACGCGUUAAGUAUCCCGCCUGGGGAGUACGGUCGCAAGGCUGAAACCCAAAGGAAUUGACGGGGGCCCGCACAAGCGGUGGAGCAUGUGGUUUAAUUCGAUGCAACGCGAAGAACCUUACCAAGGCUUGACAUACUACAAAUUUCUUUGAAAAAGGAAAGUGCCUUCGGGAAUGUAGAUACAGGUGGUGCAUGGCUGUCGUCAGCUCGUGUCGUGAGAUGUUGGGUUAAGUCCCGCAACGAGCGCAACCCUUAUUUUUAGUUGCUAAUUUAGUUUAGGUUUUCUAGAAAGACUGCCGGUGACAAACCGGAGGAAGGUGAGGAUGACGUCAAGUCAGCAUGCCCCUUAUGCCUUGGGCUACACACGUGCUACAAUGGUUAAGACAAAGAGUUGCGAGCUCGUGAGAGUCAGCUAAUCUCAUAAACUUAGCCUAAGUUCGGAUUGUAGGCUGCA